UACGAAGGGGGCUAGCGUUGCUCGGAAUUACUGGGCGUAAAGGGCGCGUAGGCGGAUAGUUUAGUCAGAGGUAAAAGCCCAGGGCUCAACCUUGGAACUGCCUUUGAUACUGGCUAUCUUGAGUUCGGGAGAGGUGAGUGGAAUGCCGAGUGUAGAGGUGAAAUUCGUAGAUAUCGGGAGGAACACCAGUGGCGAAGGCGGCGAUCUGGGAAGAUACUGACGCUGAGGUGCGAAAGCGUGGGGAGCAAACAGG
RNAcentral lists this ribosomal RNA (253 nucleotides) under uncultured bacterium. RNAcentral's name for it is "partial 16S ribosomal RNA". It matches the Rfam family "Bacterial small subunit ribosomal RNA", at positions 524 to 776 of the family's 1533-position model. The record is from RNAcentral.